RNAcentral lists this ribosomal RNA (735 nucleotides) under uncultured bacterium. RNAcentral describes it as "bacterial SSU rRNA". It matches the Rfam family "Bacterial small subunit ribosomal RNA", at positions 94 to 826 of the family's 1533-position model. The record is from RNAcentral.
AGUGGCGCACGGGUGCGUAACGCGUAUGCAACCUACCUUUAACAGGGGAAUAGCCCCGAGAAAUCGGGAUUAAUACUCCGUAACAUUGCGGUGUGGCAUCACACUGCAAUUAAAGAUUUAUCGGUUAAAGAUGGGCAUGCGUGACAUUAGCUAGUUGGUGAGGUAACGGCUCACCAAGGCAACGAUGUCUAGGGGUCCUGAGAGGGUUAUCCCCCACACUGGUACUGAGACACGGACCAGACUCCUACGGGAGGCAGCAGUAAGGAAUAUUGGUCAAUGGGCGCAAGCCUGAACCAGCCGUGCCGCGUGCAGGAAGACGGCCCUAUGGGUUGUAAACUGCUUUUAUCAGGGAAUAAACCCCCGCUCGUGAGCGGGGCUGAAGGUACCUGAAGAAUAAGCAUCGGCUAACUCCGUGCCAGCAGCCGCGGUAAUACGGAGGAUGCAAGCGUUAUCCGGAUUCAUUGGGUUUAAAGGGUGCGCAGGCGGAUUGGUAGGUCAGGGGUGAAAUCCCACAGCUCAACUGUGGAACUGCCUUUGAUACUGUCAGUCUAGAGUAUAGUUGAAGUUGGCGGAAUGUGUCAUGUAGCGGUGAAAUGCUUAGAUAUGACACAGAACACCGAUCGCGAAGGCAGCUAGCUAAGCUACAACUGACGCUCAUGCACGAAAGCGUGGGGAUCAAACAGGAUUAGAUACCCUGGUAGUCCACGCUGUAAACAAAUGAUUACUCGAUGUUGG